GCCAGACUCCUACGGGAGGCAGCAGUGAGGAAUAUUGGUCAAUGGGCGAGAGCCUGAGCCAGCCAAGUCGCGUGAGGGAGUACUGCCCUAUGGGUUGUAAACCUCUUUUGUCGGGGAGCAAAAGCCGGACGUGUCCGGCUGUGAGAGUACCCGAAGAAAAAGCAUCGGCUAACUCCGUGCCAGCAGCCGCGGUAAUACGGAGGAUGCGAGCGUUAUCCGGAUUUAUUGGGUUUAAAGGGUGCGCAGGCGGAUUUUUAAGUCAGCGGUAAAAUCGUGGGGCUCAACCCCAUCCAGCCGUUGAAACUGGGGAUCUAGAGUGUGCGAGAGGUAUGCGGAAUGCGUGGUGUAGCGGUGAAAUGCAUAGAUAUCACGCAGAACCCCGAUUGCGAAGGCAGCAUACCGGUGCACAACUGACGCUGAGGCACGAAAGCGUGGGGAUCGAACAGGAUUAGAUACCCCUGUA
RNAcentral lists this ribosomal RNA (463 nucleotides) under uncultured bacterium. RNAcentral's name for it is "bacterial SSU rRNA". It matches the Rfam family "Bacterial small subunit ribosomal RNA", at positions 330 to 792 of the family's 1533-position model. The record is from RNAcentral.